RNAcentral lists this long non-coding RNA (4808 nucleotides) under Sus scrofa (pig). Its description in RNAcentral is "lncRNA (ENSSSCG00015009072.1)". Lineage: Eukaryota; Metazoa; Chordata; Mammalia; Artiodactyla; Suidae. The record is from RNAcentral.
UUUUUUUUUUUUUUUUGACAGAAAGAACAAAAGAGUGAUGGUUUUCCCUUUGCUCUUUAUGGAGAUACAGUCUGUCUCCACCUCAAGGUCAGUGCACUGGCCUGUAGGUGACCUUGAAACUGUUCUCUGGUGGUUCCUCCCAAGUGCAUCCUGAUUCCUUUUUUUUGAACCCCAGCCUCUGACAGCCUCUGACAGCUCAGGACCCAGAGCCCAUGACAGGAGGCACUCCUGAGGGACACCGGUGCCAGGAGGUUGUGGCCUCACACUCAGCACCUCCUUGAUUGAAGGAGGUCCUGUGGCUUCUGUGGUCUGGGACGUGGUAGGCUCCAGCAAAACCGUCUUCCAGCGGGCAUUGUGGAGUCAGUCUUGUAUCAGUGAAUCAUUUAAAAUCCGUACACUUUAGCCUGACAAGUAUCCAUGUGGAUGCGGGUUUGAUCCCUGGCCUCGCUCAGUGGGUUAAGGAUCUGGCGUUGCCAUGAGCUGUGGUGUAGGUCACAGAUAUGGCUCAGAUCCAGCGUUGCUCUGCUGGCCUACACCACAGCCGCAGCAACACAGGAUCUGAGCCCUGUCUGGACCCACACCACAGCUUGGGGCAAUGCCGGAUCCCUAACCCACUGAGUGAGGCCAGGGCUCGAACCCAGUUCCUCAUGGGCCCCUCAGUGGGUUCCUUACCACUGAGCCAUGAUGGAAACUCCCUACUGUUUUUUUGAAUAAAAGCCAUCUCUUUGAUCACAGCAGCUCCUAAAUUGAAGACUUUUACGACUGUCCUUGUUUCUGCCCAUCUCCCAUCUGGGGUUGGGUGCCCCAGCACAGAGGAGAUUUGAGAGGGCCUCCUGGGCCCCUGGGGGACUCCUGCCUCUGGAGAGGACCCUGCCCCCCCCCCCCCCCCGGGAACUGUCUGUUUCUCAAGCCUUGUUUCUCAAAGUUUCAGCGGCGAAAGGCAGGGGAAGUGUAGAAAAACGAAUUUGCAUCCUUGUGACUGUGCCCUGGCCCUCGCCCUCUUGGAGGCAAAUGCAGAGUAGAACCAGAGGUGUGACUUUGGACGGUCCUCCAGCCCCUUCCCCCAGGGACCCCCCACCCCCAGAAUCAUGGCUGGGAACGUCGUGGGAAAGUGCUUCUCUCCAGCUAAACUGACCUUUGUCUCAGGACCUGGGGUAGUUAACACCCAAAGAAAAGGCACCUGAUCUUUUGUUUUUGACCGGUCAUGUUACAUGGGGCAAGAGGGAAGGUGUUUGAUUUCACCUUGGAACUUGUUCUCCUACCUGUUAUGGAGCAGCCACUCCGACAGGGAAGGUUGAAGGGCAACUGAGAGACACCUGCUGGUGUGCAGAGACCAGAAUGUUCCAUAGGUGCUCGCUCCAGAGAAAACCCAGCGGGUGCCCUGGUUCCCCCCACCCCCCUGGGUGCCUGGGAGUCCAGUCAUCCCCGGAAAGCACCCGAGUUUUCUUGCUGGUGGCCAGCUGGGUCCUUGAUCAACCCUUCUGGGCAAUCAUGGCAAUUUUUGUCAAGAGCCAUGCAGAUCUUUGUAAGCUUUGACCCAGUGACCCCACUUUGGGAACGCUCUCUCAGGGAAACAAUAGAAAAUCCGGACAAAAUGUUGUACGGAUGUGGUCAGCUCAGCUUUUUUGGCAAUAGCAAAAUAAAUUGGAGAUACCCAAAGCCUCUGACCAUAACCAAAGACCUGAAUCAUUUCUGCUGUAGCUGCUAAGGGGAAGGCCAGGGAGGCUGGGUGAAGCUGAGCAAAGGCAGUUGUUUAUUGGGGAAAAGGUGAGAGGGAAAUACACCCCGAAAUCAUGUCAGAGUUGUGGCCAGGGGACCAGAAUAUGGAUGUCUUUCUUUUCCCUUCUCUGGUUUAUACCUUUUCUGUGAUGUGGUUAUGGCACUUCUACUGGAAAAGGAAUUCUUUCCUUUCUUUUCUGCUAAGAAACCAAGUGCUCGGCUGUUUCCAGGGAAAGCAAGAAAACCAACGUUGAGCUCCCUUUCUGCAUGGCACUCGAGAAAACAGACCAGUUCCUAAAACGAAGGCCUAGGUCCCAGUGCUCCUUGGCCAGUUAAUAGGAAUAUAAGAGGACAGCUCGCAAAAUCCUCCAGUAUAAUAGCCGCCGUGGAUCAGACCCCCAGACCCGGGCAGAAGGCAUUAUUGUUGCCAUUUAUUAAUACUAAUAAUAAUGGGGUCAUGGGGGAGGGGGAGUCAGGGAGAAGUCACGUGACUCUCUCCACUCUCAGCGCUGUCUCCCAGAGCUGCUGAUGGGGUUCAGGGUGUUUAGAGACCCCAGUACCAGGACCUCUUUUCAAGUCAUUUGGAGAUUAUUUUCUGGGAAAGCUAAGGUGAGGGACAGCUACCAGGGCACAGCAGCAAAUUGUUUUCCAUGUGGGUGACGUUGUCUUUGUAAGUGGGAAGCAGACGUGUAGUCUGGUUUAGAUGGAGGGGGUACUGCCCUGGUGUGUGCUCAGUGGCAGAUCUGGAACCUUCUGUCCGCAGGUGGGCAUCUGAGCUUCCGUCACUUUGGGAGGGCAAAUUUCCAGACUGUCUCUGUGGUAUUUAAAAUGCUAUUGUCGGGAGGUCCCAUUGUGGCUCAGUGGUAACAAACCUGACUCCUAUCCGUGAGGUUGUGGGUUCGAUCCCUGGCCUCGCUCAGUGGGUUAAGGAUCCAGCACUGCCGUGAGCUGUGGUGUAGGCCGGCAGCUGAAGCUCCAAUUCAACCCCAGCCUGGGAACCUCCAUAUGCUGUGGGCGCGGCCCUAAAAAGACUAACUAACCAACUAAAUAAAAUGUUGUCUCUCAAGUCCUAUGUUUGUCCUGCAGCUCACUUGUCCCCUUUGCCUUCAUUUUGGAGCAGUUCUGAUUCAAAACUCCUCAACCAGUUUUUAAAAGGAGGCACAAAAAAGGGUGCCAGGGACUUUGGUGCCAAAGGUAGGUUUGAGGAAGAAGCGUAUGAAUUAAUUUUCAGCUUUAGGUGGAAAACUGAAUUUGCCGUAUUUUAUUCUUUUUUUGGCCACUCCUGCGGCAUGUGGAAGUUCCCGGGCCAGGGGUUGAACCUUUGCUGUAGCAGUGACCACACCAGAUCCCUAAUCCACUGAGCCACAAGGGAACUUCUGAAGUUGCAGGGGGAUGUGUUUGAACUUCUUUCUACACAGCCGUUUAUUUAUUUACUUGUCCUUUUUCUUUUUUCUUUCUUUUUUAGGGCUGCACCGUGGCAUAUGGAAACUCACAUCAGAGCUACAGCUGCUGGCCUACACCACAGCCACAGCAAUGCGGGAUCCGAGCCGUGUCCAUGACCUACACCACAGCUCAUGGCAAUGCCGGAUCCCUAACCUACUGAGCGAGGCCAGGAAUUGAACCUGUGUCCUCAUGGAUAGAUACUACUCAGGCUCGUUACCACUGAGCCCUGACGGGAACUCCAAAUAGCCAUUUAUUGAGGGUCAAGAAAAGCCCUUGUUUUCCUCAUUCCCGGUCUCCUCCGCUCUCCUGUUGGGCCUCAAGCCCGGGGCCCUCUGCUCCGAGGCACCUUCUGGAGGAAAUGACAGGCAGUUGUGCGGAAAGAUUGGAGCAGGGAAGCUCCAGCCACCUGCCGAGUCACACCUGCUCCCCCCACCUGCCCCCACAGGGUCCGGGGAGGGAAGUGCAGCCCAGAACAGAGUGGGAAAGCUGCUGGCGAGAGAGGUUUCUGCCUGGGCACAUUAUCUCAUUUAAUCUCCCUCGCCCUCUGCGGGGACGUGUCAUUGUCGUCAAGUGUGGCUCAGGUGUCAAGCAGUUUCAGUAAAAGGUUUCAGCUGCUCCCCAGCCAGGAAACCUUGCCUCUGCUGGGUGUGUGUGACCAGCCCUGCCAGCUGCUCCACGUCCCCUUGCUCCUCUCUGGAGGAGGGGUCAUGAAGCAUCCUUAUAGGAGGGGGACGUCGGGGAAAGGCCUGUCGCCUCCGUGGUCCCUCUGCCUUCCCCGAGGGGUGUGGCUGCGGCCUGGGUGGCAGGGGUCUGUUCUAGGUCUUCCUCCCUGGCCCCCACGCCUCUCUCAGAGCCUGAGACAAGCCCUCUGUUGGAGAAGAGUUGAGAACUAACUCUAGGAACAGGCAUCCAUGGGUAGAUGAGCUGGGAGGAGGCGCUGGCCUGGUUCGAGCCCAGCUGAGUGUUGUCAGCGCUGAAGUAGCCAUGAGCUUCCUGGCGCUCUGUUCUGCUUCACGGUGACAAACACUAUGUCUUGAAACUUAAGAGAAAAAAGAAAAAAAAAAAAGGAAGAGAAAAAAAGUCAGAAAGGGGCUUCUAUGACAGAACGUAAAGUCUAAUGACAACACCUUACAUCCGUAGAGUGCUGUGUGUUUAUGCUGUGGCCUUAUUCCAGUAAACAUCCCCAAGCCCCGGGCUUGGCUUCUCUCUCUUUGAGGUCUGUAGGUCAAGCUCACAGCAGGCCUUGCUCUGAGAGUGCUUGGAGAAUGAAUGCGCAAUUUUUCUUUCUUUUUUUUUUUUUUCUUUUUUCCGAAAAUUGAAGCCCAGAGAGGUUGAGCGAUUUGCUUUAAGGCUGCACAGCCAGCGAGGGCCGGAGUUGGGACUUAGUCCUGGCUCUUCUUCAAGUUCCCUUGGUGGCCUCCUCGCAGAUGCACAUCAGGCUGGCAGAGGAAUUCAGAUGCCAAGAGACACCCCUGUUGAAUGACCAGGGCGUUUACUGAGACCUCAUUCCCCCUUUAUUCUGAAGGCUGGUAUCCUUGUCGUCUCGGUCAGCCUGCUCUUGGGGCCACAUGCACUGUCCUCCCUAACCCCCUGCCUGCUGAAGCAUUUUCUCCUUUGUAUGACACUCUUGAGUCUCCUCCAAAGCU